GAUGAACGCUGGCGGCGUGCCUAAUACAUGCAAGUCGAGCGAACGGACGAGAAGCUUGCUUCUCUGAUGUUAGCGGCGGACGGGUGAGUAACACGUGGAUAACCUACCUAUAAGACUGGGAUCACUUCGGGAAACCGGAGCUAAUCCCGGAUAAUAUUUUGAACCGCAUGGUUCAAAAGUGAAAGACGGUCUUUCUGUCUCUUAUAGAUGGAUCCGCGCUGCAUUAGCUAGUUGGUACGGUAACGGCUUUCCAAGGCAACGAUGCAUAGCCGACCUGAGAGGGGGAUCGGCCACAUGAGAAGGGAGACGCGGUCCAGACUCCUACGGGAGGCAGCAGUAGGGAAUCUUCCGCAAUGGGCGAAAGCCUGACGGAGCAACGCCGCGUGAGUGAUGAAGGUCUUCGGAGCGUAAAACUCUGUUAUUAGGGAAGAACAUAUGUGUAAGUAACUGUGCACAUCUUGACGGUACCUAAUCAGAAAGCCACGGCUAACUACGUG
RNAcentral lists this ribosomal RNA (497 nucleotides) under uncultured bacterium. RNAcentral describes it as "partial 16S ribosomal RNA". It matches the Rfam family "Bacterial small subunit ribosomal RNA", at positions 28 to 507 of the family's 1533-position model. The record is from RNAcentral.